UAAUACGGAGGAUGCAAGCGUUAUCCGGAUUGAUUGGGCGUAAAGCGUCUGUAGGUGGUUACGCUAGUCGGCUGUUAAAGAUCAGGGCUGAACCCUGAGCAAGCAGUCGAAACUGCGUGGCUGGAGUACGGUAGGGGCAGAGGGAAUUCCCGGUGUAGCGGUGAAAUGCGUAGAUAUCGGGAAGAACACCAAAGGCGAAAGCGCUCUGCUGGGCCGAAACUGACACUGAGAGACGAAAGCUAGGGGAGCGAAUGGGAUUAGAUACCCCAGUAGUCCUAGCCGUAAACGAUGGAUACUAAGUGCUGUGCGAUUUAACCCGUCCAGUGCUGUAGCUAACGCGUGAAGUAUCCCGCCUGGGGAGUAUGCUCGCAAGAGUG
Molecule: ribosomal RNA, 377 nt
Filed under: uncultured bacterium
Lineage: Bacteria
Description: bacterial SSU rRNA
Rfam family: Bacterial small subunit ribosomal RNA
Source: RNAcentral